Molecule: ribosomal RNA, 326 nt
Filed under: uncultured eukaryote
Lineage: Eukaryota
Description: partial 18S ribosomal RNA
Rfam family: Eukaryotic small subunit ribosomal RNA
Source: RNAcentral
CCCCUAGAUGUCCUGGGCCGCACGCGCGCUACACUGAACGGAUCAGCGCGUUUUCCCUUCCCGAGAGGGACGGGUAACCUGCUGAACCCCGUUCGUGGUAGGGAUCGGGGCUUGCAAUUAUUCCCCGUGAACCAGGAAUGCCCAGUAAGUGCAAGUCAUAAGCUUGCGUUGAUUACGUCCCUGCCCUUUGUACACACCGCCCGUCGCUACUACCGAUUGAACGUUUUAGUGAGGUACUCGGACUGAGCCUCAGAAGAUUCACGUCUUUUGUGCUGCUCGGGAAGAUUCCCAAACUUGAGCGUUUAGAGGAAGUAAAAGUCGUAACA